RNAcentral lists this ribosomal RNA (329 nucleotides) under uncultured eukaryote. RNAcentral's name for it is "partial 18S ribosomal RNA". It matches the Rfam family "Eukaryotic small subunit ribosomal RNA", at positions 1470 to 1796 of the family's 1831-position model. The record is from RNAcentral.
CCCUUAGAUGUUCUGGGCCGCACGCGCGCUACACUGAUGCAUUCAACGAGUCUAAAACCUGCUCUGAUAGGGGUGGGUAAUCUUUUGAAUGUGCAUCGUGAUUGGGAUAGAUGAUUGCAAUUUUUCAUCUUCAACGAGGAAUGCCUAGUAAACGCAAGUCAUCAGCUUGCAUUGAUUACGUCCCUGCCCUUUGUACACACCGCCCGUCGCUCCUACCGAUUGAAUGAUCCGAUGAAUAUCAUGGAUUGAGGAUGCAAGCAGGUUCGCCUGUCUUCAUCUUCGAGAAGUGAAGUAAAUCUUAUCAUUUAGAGGAAGAAGAAGUCGUAACA